This 344-nucleotide unclassified non-coding RNA is filed under the name soil metagenome. Its description in RNAcentral is "partial contains 5.8S ribosomal RNA, internal transcribed spacer 2, and large subunit ribosomal RNA". The stretch from base 1 to 121 matches the Rfam family "5.8S ribosomal RNA", at positions 35 to 154 of the family's 154-position model. The record is from RNAcentral.
GAUGAAGAAACGUAGCGAAAUGCGAUAAGUAAUGUGAAUUGCAGAAUUCAGUGAAUCAUCGAGUUUUUGAACGCAUAUUGCGCCCUCUGGUAUUCCGGGGGGCAUGCCUGUUCGAGCGUCAUUAAAUAACCCUCAAGCAUAGCUUGGUGUUGGGCUUUUUUACGUCCUUGACUGGGAUGGGCCUAAAAAUUAGUGGCGAUGGCUUUUUUACUUUCAAGCGUAGUAAAUCUCGUCUUGCUAAAGAGGAAAAAGAUUUUUUUUCUGCCAAAAAUUUUAACAUUUAAAGUUGACCUCGGAUCAGGUAGGAUUACCCGCUGAACUUAAGCAUAUCAAUAAGCGGAGGA